Molecule: non-coding RNA, 694 nt
Organism: Pogona vitticeps (central bearded dragon)
Lineage: Eukaryota; Metazoa; Chordata; Lepidosauria; Squamata; Agamidae
Source: RefSeq, a predicted model, not a curated record
CAUAGGUGAACAGAGUGAUGGAUGAAAAAGUGAAACCGGCAGGAACAUAAAGCAAUACUGCCUACUACGACUUACUACCAGAGCAUGGCAAUGAAAUCAGGAAGUGGGAGGGUCGGGAACUCACAGGAACAGCAGAGGAGCAGGAUCACGACAGCCUCGAUCUGCUGCUCGGAGAGGAGAUGGGGGCUGAUCUCUACAGACUCUGGCAAUGGAGCUACCAUGUUUUCAGAUUUAAGCCUUGACAUAUGAGCCAGGCUCUGGUGCCUACAAUCUGUGGCUUCCUUGAAGCAAACUGGCAACAGGAGGAUAGCCAGAGAGCCAGGAAGUCAGAACACCAUGGACAGCUGCUGAUGGGAAAAGGGCUUCCAUAUGGAAUACACAUGGCAGGAGAAAGGAGACAAGGUGGAGUCAGCUGGCAAGGUAAGCCCUGCCCUGCCCGCCCUCAUGGUGCUGGUUUGGCCCAUGGGUGGCAGAACCAAGACGCUGUUGGGUGAAGUAUAACACAGCAGGAGAACAGAGCAGGCCAAGGGGUAAAGGGCCCCUUUUUCAGAUGCAAUCCUAACCGCACUUUUGCCCACUCGGGUGAAAGGCACUGGUUCUCACUUUGAAUUCUGGGGAUCAUUUGUCGUUUUGCAAAUGUGCAUCUCAAUUACUGCAAAGCGGUGUCCUCUUUUCAUUCUCCUUUUUAAGGGGA